Molecule: signal recognition particle RNA, 300 nt
Filed under: Callithrix jacchus (white-tufted-ear marmoset)
Lineage: Eukaryota; Metazoa; Chordata; Mammalia; Primates; Cebidae
Description: Metazoan signal recognition particle RNA (ENSCJAG00000078446.1)
Rfam family: Metazoan signal recognition particle RNA
About the family: The signal recognition particle (SRP) is a universally conserved ribonucleoprotein. It is involved in the co-translational targeting of proteins to membranes. The eukaryotic SRP consists of a 300-nucleotide 7S RNA and six proteins: SRPs 72, 68, 54, 19, 14, and 9.
Source: Rfam by way of RNAcentral
GCUGGGCACAGUGGCACAUGUCUGUAAUCCCAGCUACUCGGGGGGCUGAGGUGGGAGGAUCACUUGAGCCCAGGAGUUCUGGGCCGUAGUGCCCUAUGGCCAUCAGAAGCUAGAACUAAGUUCGGCAUCAAUAUGGUGACCUCCUCGCAGAGGGGAAGCACCAGGUUGCCUAAGGAGGGGUGAACUGGUCCAGGUUGGAAACAGAGCAGGUCAAAACUCCCAUGCUGAUCAGUAGUGGGAUACUGCCUGUGAAUAGCCACUGCACUCCAGCCUGGGCAACAUAGCAAGACCGCGUCUUAG